UUUUAAUUAUUACUAUUUUUGAGUAUUUGUUUUCAUCCGUCUGAUCAGAAGAUCAGUUGGAUUAGAUUUGGUAAAAUUUUCCAAAGCACAAUACGAAUUUUGCUCUUUCCAAUAUAUAGAUACACAGAUCAUGCGUAUCUUCUCCCUCUUCCCCAAAAUCAGCUCCCAUCAACAUCAACUUUCCCAAAAAUUGGGAAAAAUCAUUGCCCUUCCUUUUUCUCUUUUUCUCCAUCUUCCCCUUCAUGCCAAGAACGAGCAACUCAAAACCCUAGCCACAUCCUUAUAGUCUGUUGCUUGCCUAUUCAAGAUUUGCCUAUUUUUGCCUUAUUAGCUCAUGAAUCUAUAGAAAUCGAAGGGAAGCAGUCCCCAAUUCGUAUAACAACGGGAAAAAUGAUUCAAAAUCACCAUCAAUGGCUUGAAAAGUUAAAAGAUUCAGAGAGUAUUUACUUCAGAGAUUGAUUUCAAAUUUCAAAUUGAUUUCUCUCAUAUUUUUCUUAAAUUGAGUUUUGAAUCCAGACUUUCAAGUUCGGAUUCACUGAUAAAUACGGGCCCUUGUCAUCUCUAAGGGGUAGGCAAAAAUUUGUGAGAAAGGUAAGGGAAAUCCGUGAGAAAAGAAGAGGAAAAACUAGUGAAACGGGGAGUGUUUCUGUUGAGUUUAAGGUUUUAUAAGGAAAAUUCGUGAGGAAAGAGGUCGAAAAAUUAGUAAGAAAAAUAAAAGAAAAGGAGAGUGAAAAUUAGUAAGCAAAACAAAAAAAAUGAGUGGAAAGUUUGUAAAGGGGGAUUUGGAAGUGAAAUAUCAAUAAAAAAUCUCAAGUCUCCGGAAUCCGUUGGCUUCUUUCCUUUCUUGAUUUUUCAUUUUUUUAUUUUCGGGGUAAAAUUUUGAGUCACCAAAGUUGAUUUUGAUGGCCAAAUAAAAGUUCUCGAUGGAAAGCCCGAAGUUUACUGCCCCUAAAAUAGUGCAAAACCAUUUUUCAUUCCCUUCCCUCGUCUAUUGAUUUUGGAAUAUGUGAUUUUUUCACUUUUAAAUUUUAUGUUAUUAUCGUUGUUCUUUAUCCUUGCGGAUGAAUGUAAUUUUAAUACUGAAAAGAGGAAACCAUGUUCAUAUGCGAAUAUCAAGAUUUGUAAAUGUGUGUAUAGUACAUUUACUUUGUUGUGGUAACUUGUAUUUAUUUUUUCUUAAAAAAAAAGAAAAGAUAAUUCUUUUGAUUCAGAUGAAGAGUUGUUACAUUCUUGUAUUUUAGUUUGAAAUUGGUUCCCUCCCAAUUUGGAUUCAAGACUAUUGGACGCAAAAUAGCAUAAGAAUCAUCCCUUUUUUCUUUGUUUUCUAAUUUGAAUAUGUAUCUGUGAAUGUGCGUAUGUGUCUGUUCAUCUUGUUUGGUAUUAACUGUAAGUUUAAUUCAUGCGUCAUUUAAAGUAUGCGGUUAUUAAAAAUACCAAAGAGUGGCUUCCAUCUCUUCUUGAUACCACUGCUGCCUUUCAUCAUCUUUGUGUAAAGUAAAAUUAUGAUUUUUGAAAUCACUUCGCAUGCGAAUACACAAGUCUUGUGGUGUUUCUCUAUUCUAUUGACAUAUUUCAUUCUUUUUUAUAUCAAAUGUUGUUUUGUGCGUGUGCGGAUAAAUGAGGUUGUAAGAAAUUUUUAUUGACAUAUUGGGAGUUGCCUUUUUGAAUCACGUUUUUAACACAAAGC
This 1687-nucleotide long non-coding RNA is filed under the name Capsicum annuum. Its description in RNAcentral is "long non-coding RNA (CANN_LNC020253)". The record is from RNAcentral. Lineage: Eukaryota; Viridiplantae; Streptophyta; Magnoliopsida; Solanales; Solanaceae.